RNAcentral lists this ribosomal RNA (865 nucleotides) under Coelotes terrestris. RNAcentral's name for it is "SSU rRNA". It matches the Rfam family "Eukaryotic small subunit ribosomal RNA", at positions 52 to 916 of the family's 1831-position model. The record is from RNAcentral. Lineage: Eukaryota; Metazoa; Arthropoda; Arachnida; Araneae; Agelenidae.
UGCAUGUCUAAGUACAUGCCGUAUUAAGGCGAAACCGCGAAUGGCUCAUUAAAUCAGUCAUGGUUCCUUGGAUCGUACCUUACUACUUGGAUAACUGUGGCAAUUCUAGAGCUAAUACAUGCAGCAGAGCUCCGACCUUCGGGGACGAGCGCUUUUAUUAGACCAAAACCAAUCGGACCUCGUGUCCGUCCUUUGUGGUGACUCUGUAUAACUUUGGGCUGAUCGCACGGGCCUGUCCCGGCGACGUAUCUUUCAAGUGUCUGCCUUAUCAACUUUCGAUGGUAGGUUACGCGCCUACCAUGGUCGUAACGGGUAACGGGGAAUCAGGGUUCGAUUCCGGAGAGGGAGCCUGAGAAACGGCUACCACAUCCAAGGAAGGCAGCAGGCGCGCAAAUUACCCACUCCCAGAACGGGGAGGUAGUGACGAAAAAUAACAAUACGGGACUCUUUUGAGACCCCGUAAUUGGAAUGAGUACACUCUAAAUCCUUUAACCAGGAUCCAUUGGAGGGUAAGUCUGGUGCCAGCAACCGCGGUAAUUCCAGCUCCAAUAGCGUAUAUUAAAGUUGUUGCGGUUAAAAAGCUCGUAGUUGGAUCUCAGUUCCAGACGGGUGGUCCUCCUACCGGUGGUUACUACCUGUUCUGAACAGUCAGCCGGUUUCUCUUGAUGAUCUUCACCGGUUGUCUUGGGUGACCGGCAAGUUUACUUUGAAAAAAUUAGAGUGCUCAAAGCAGGCGUGACGCCUGAAUAAUGGUGCAUGGAAUAAUGGAAUAGGACCUCGGUUCUAUUUUGUUGGUUUUCGGAACACGAGGUAAUGAUUAAGAGGGACAGACGGGGGCAUUCGUAUUGCGACGCUAGAGGUGAAA